GCCCCGCCCCCACCUGAGAGGACGCCCGUGCACAGCCUUCUGGGCAAUGUAGUUUUUGCUCUACAAACGAGCCGCACAGGAACGUGUUCCGGAGCGGGUCUUCCUCGUCCUAAAAGACUUAUCAGGCCCAGAGCUCGCUGUCAGACCCGCCUCUUCACAGCGAACACAACGCGAGGUGGACCGAGGAGAAAGGGCGAGGCCGUCCCUCUCAUGCCCCGACAUAAUUCCAGUUCUCUAAGAACAGGCAUGUCGCAUCCUAAGCUCUGGAUUUAUAGCCCUCCUUUCCCUCAAAUUGAAUGGCAUCGUGGUCGUUCUCCUCAAGCAGAGAAACAUCUAAGCUGGUGUUUCUCAACCGUGGCACUCUGGACGCUGCAGGCGGGAUAGUCCUUCAUUGAGGACGGCGGUCUUGUCCAUCGAAGGAUGUUUACGGCAUCUUUGGACUCCAACCACUAGAUGCCAGGACCACCUACACCCAAGGCCAGACAACCCAAAGUGGCUGCAAACACUGCCAAAUGUCUCCUGGGGGUACAAAUCCCAACUGCUGAGAAGUAUUACUCUAACCCCUCUCUUGUACUGGCAGAGGAUGUUGGCCCUUGAAACAAGUGAUAAUCUCGGAGGCACACAGACACAAAGGAGCCCCAUAACCGAGAUCAUGCCGUUUGGGACAAUACCUGUUGGCACUGAAGGCAAAGGCCUCCCGGGGGCCUGCCUGCCUCACUCUCUUCUUGGAGAACAUCCCAUCACUCACAGCCCUGCUGAGGACACUUGAGCCAAUCAGGCUCACGCAGUCAGCUCCCUCUCUGGAAUGUGAAAUAAGAACCUCGGAUGGAGGCCAGUCUGCGCUGGGCACUGGGUGAGAGGUCCAGAGAAGUACUGGCUCGGGUGGCCAUUCCUGCCCCAAGGACACCCACACAGCCCAGCAGCACACAGAGAAAGAGGAACAACAUAAACACGCAAAGACGCGGAGACCAGGAAUCGGGGGG
Molecule: long non-coding RNA, 983 nt
Organism: Mirounga angustirostris (Northern elephant seal)
Lineage: Eukaryota; Metazoa; Chordata; Mammalia; Carnivora; Phocidae
Exons: 2
Source: RefSeq, a predicted model, not a curated record